Long non-coding RNA from Numida meleagris (helmeted guineafowl), 2586 nucleotides. RefSeq lists it as uncharacterized. The transcript has 4 exons. The record is from RefSeq and is a predicted model, not a curated record. NCBI's taxonomy places the organism in Eukaryota, Metazoa, Chordata, Aves, Galliformes, Numididae.
UAGUUUAAAGCCAUUCCCGCUUGUCCUGUCACUAUCAGAUCACGUAAAAAGUUCAUUCUCCUCCUGUUUGUAAGCUCCCUUCAAAUACUGGAAGGCUGCAGUGAGGUCUCCCUGGAGCCUUCACUUCUCUGCGCUGAACAGCCCCUGCUCUCUCAGCCUGUCUCCAUAGGAGAGGUGUUCCAACUCUUUGAUCGUCUUUGUGGCCCUCCUCUGGACCUGCUCGAACACCUCCACCUCCCUCCUGUGCUGGGGGCCCCAAGCUUGGACACAGUACUCCAGAUGGGGCCUCACAAGGGUAGAGUAGAGGGGGACAAUCAUCUCACUUUACCUGCUGGCAAUCCCUCUGUUGAUGCAGCCUGGGAUACCGUUGGCUUUCUAGGCUGCAAGAGCACCUUGCUGGCUCAUGUCCAGCUUCUCAUCCAUCAGGACCCCCAAGCCCUUCUCUACAGGACUGCUCUCAACGCCAGUCUGCUCUCUUCUCCCAGUCUGUACUCAUACCUGGGACGGCCUCAACCCAAGUGCAGCAUCUUGCAUUUGGCCUUGUUAAACCUCGUUAGAUUCUCUUGUGCUCACUUUUUGAGUGUCUUUUUUUUUUUUUUAACAACAUUGCUCGGGUUACACUCACUAUGAUAGCUCAGUAGUCUUUUGAAAUCAAGUAGAUCCUAAAAAUACUGCAUACCAGUCUUUGUAGAUAAACAAUCAAAUCUGAGGUGGAUUUAAUGAAAAUCUGAUUUCUUCCUCAAAAUAAGUGCAUUGGCUCAAACUCUGAAAUAGCAUUUUAACUCCUGUCAGGAACCAGCUUCCCUUUCUUGUUUCAGGUACGUUUUUAAAUUCUAUUAUCAAUAUAUUUUUAUGGACAGAAGCUAGAAAGUUUAAAUGAUGUAGUUUUCUGAUUCUGCCUGGCAAAAGAGAAAACCACGUAUAUCUGUUAGCAUUUGUGGGAAGAACAAUGUUGCUUGUUCAUAUGUCCUUGUAUUUUAUUGCAAUAACUAGGAUUCAUCCAUAUGCCCAGGCAUUGUAAUUGGUAGCUUUAGGGGAACUGUUAUGUCACUGCCUGAACUGAUGAUUGAGCACCUGGUGAAGAGGGUGGCUGGCCCAGGAAGCACAGGUGCAAGCAAUUCACCGGUGCUUCCCACCUGGGGGGAAGGGUCACCCUUCCCUGGGCUCAUUUAAGGGCUAGCCUCCAGAGGGAGAAUGCCUUUUGGGUGAAGGCUGCUUCCUGGGAAGGUGUGUUUUACAGCCAGAGAGACUCUUAUCAGUGUUUGGGGACUGGAUAGCUUUCUUCUGAGAAGAGUCCUCAUUGACAUUUCUUCUGUUCUGCUCUUACAAAGUCUGCAGGAAAAGGUUGUACUGAGGAACUGCAUCCCACAGGUUCUGUGCAGCUUAAGAACCAAGCACGCUGACAAGUGGCUGAUUGUGCUGAAAUGCAACAGUGCUGGAGGGGGAAGAGACAGGAGGAAAUGCUAAGGCUUUUCAGAUAAUGUCCAUGGACUGGACAAGCAACAGGACAAUUUCCUUUCUGGGAACACCCUUGUGGGGCACACUAGAAACUAAGACACUCAACUCAUCUGAACCGAUGGAAAUAAAAUCAGGACAGAUGUGAGGCACAGGAACUGACUAAACCAGCUUUACCACCAAGAUUUCCUUCCUUAAGACGGAAAUGAUAACGUGCUGUCUGGGACGGAAUGGCGUCAUCGGGUCAGAAAUAGGCAGUGACGUGGUGAUGCUGGGAUGCUUGAUACGUCCUUCCUGACAUUCCCCCUCUAUGUAAGCGUUCCUGUUGACCCCCAGCCCUCCUGGCCACAGAAGUGGGUUUGCGGUGCGUGAUGCAGUCAGCGUCCUGCUUCAGCUGUGGUGCUGAACCAGGGGCUGCCCGGCACGCACCCCAAAUGGCCCUGGCUACAUGAUCUGCAUCUCUGUCCCUCUUUCUGUCUCUUUCUCUGUUUCUCAAGUCUACCUUCCUCUGUCCUCUCCCCCUCUUUUUAACCUGCAGUCACCUCCCACUUAAACAACUCAUCCUUAAUUACCUUUCACCUCUAUGGCAUCAUACAUUGCCAUCUGUCACACGGAACAAAUUCCCAUGUCACGUCCAGUCAUUUUCAAUGCACUUUUCAAUUGAAAAAUGCCUCCCUAGGAUGGGGCCUGCAGCCCUGGUAGCAUUUUAUCCCUGUUCACUUGAGCUUUUUUAGCUGUGCAAGGAACUCUUACUGACAGGUUCAUUUCUUUAGAAAAACAUCUGAGGUAAAAAUACUGAUACUGAAGUGGUUUGGGACUCAGGGACUGGGCUCUACAUUUGUUGCUCUGGUGGCUGAAGUGUGGGCUCUGCCUUGGGACCAUCAAUGUGACUGUGAAGGGAGCAUGAGUUAACCUGUGUCUGGUCAUAGGUGUGGACAUGAAGGAGAAGUACAGAAACUGGCAGCUGGCACUGGGGCCUUUACUGGCUUUUCUGUGGAUGGAUGAAGUUAGGAGAGGAUGAGAGCUGGCUGCAUGUUCAUACAGAAUGCUUCCUUGCAGCAGAUUUGGCACAAAGAGAAUGAUGUUACGUGUUGGCACUCCAAAGACACUGAAGCACAAUCUGCCUGCUCU